ACGCCGUGAUACUUCAGCGCCCCCGCGAUC
RNAcentral lists this small RNA (30 nucleotides) under Bombyx mori (domestic silkworm). RNAcentral describes it as "ovarian small RNA-11503". The record is from RNAcentral. Lineage: Eukaryota; Metazoa; Arthropoda; Insecta; Lepidoptera; Bombycidae.